Molecule: long non-coding RNA, 804 nt
Organism: Drosophila miranda
Lineage: Eukaryota; Metazoa; Arthropoda; Insecta; Diptera; Drosophilidae
Exons: 6
Source: RefSeq, a predicted model, not a curated record
AAAAAAUUAUUAAAGUGCGAAGUGAUGUCAUGCGGCAGAAAACCAACAACAUACACAUGUGCAUGCCAAAAGGAGUAGUAUGGAGAGGCUCUGAUUGAAAUACCGCUUUCGUCUGGCACACGGGCAACAGCUUCAUUUCGACAGCGGCAACAAAGUUUAUUGGCAACAGACACACACACACACACACACACACAAAAGAAGUUCUCCUCGAAGCUCACAAAAAAUAUUCCCUAAGAUGUGCAAGUUCUUGGUUCACAUUUCUGAGUAAAAUUCUGAAUAACAUUUCGGAUCACAUUUCUGGAUACCUUUCUAAAAUUCAAAGCCGAAUUUCCUGUUUUCUAAUGGAAUAAUAGAAUUCUUAUGCUGCAUGUUCUGCCCAACCGUAGUCAUAUCGUCCUGUGGGUCCAGGCGGAUUCUGUGAGGAGGCAUUGGUAGUACGGCAUCGUCGGGGUUUUUUGCUUUCCCACAUACGUCUCCACAACGGUUGUCCUUAUGUCCUUGGGCGACUCGGACCACUCCGAUUAGCACAGAGCAAAAAAUUUUUGCCUAGUAUCGAGCUUCUGUUUGGUUUAAGAACUUCUACGGAUCAAAAACAUGUGGGCCUUGUGGAUCGUGUUCUCCCAUGUGCUGUGGAGGCUUCUGUAGUGGCUGUCGCUGAGUAAUAACGACAAUCGACAGGAUCUAUGCCUUCCAUCAACGCUCUGGUGACAGCUGCAGAAAGCUAGAACUCAAAGCUGCCUCAAAAAAAUAGCUUUAGGCUAGUUUUAUGAUAGUUUUAAAAAUAAACCAUUUAAAAAUAAAACA